AAAAAACACAGUUUUAUGUUUUUUUUCUAACGUUUGAUCGAUUGUCUUAUUUGAAAUUUUUUUAUAAUUGGUACUUUUUAUUAUUAUUUGAUGAUAAAACAUGAGUAAUAAUUUAAGCGUGACUAAUUUUUGUUAAUAUUUUUAUAAAUUUUUCAAAUAAGACGGAUGAUCAAUGUAGAUACGUAAAUCCACAACUACACUUAAA
Molecule: non-coding RNA, 205 nt
Organism: Oryza punctata
Lineage: Eukaryota; Viridiplantae; Streptophyta; Magnoliopsida; Poales; Poaceae
Source: Rfam